This 660-nucleotide long non-coding RNA is filed under the name Mustela putorius furo (domestic ferret). RNAcentral's name for it is "lncRNA (ENSMPUG00000026909.1)". Lineage: Eukaryota; Metazoa; Chordata; Mammalia; Carnivora; Mustelidae. The record is from RNAcentral.
CAGUUGGCAGCACCGUGGUCAGAGACCGUACAAAGUGAGGCUACAGAGCCUUCUGAAGACUAGGCUCUGCCUUCGUGUGGCAUUGUCUCCAUCACAUGUUAUUGGUUAAAACAACCACAGGAUCAGACCAUAUAGGGAUUGGGAAAAUGGACUCCACCUCCUGAGAGGGAGAAGCCACAGAGUAAGGGGGAGCAUGGGAGUAAGAGAAUAAUUGUCAUCGCACUGCAAUUUGCUUCUUUGCAUAGCUCGGGUCCUGCUCAUCCCCUUCUGAAUUGCUGCCUCAGGUCUGCCCUCAGAGGCAAUGUUUCUGUUUGAGCCACAGCAUCAUCCGUCCUAUGGAAUACGUCUCUCUGCGUCUGCUCCUACGAAGUUUGCAACUUGCAUGCUGACUUCCCAGUGUCAGUGCCUACAAGCGGAUAUAAAGGAGAGAAGGAAGAAAAGAUGAACCAGAACACAGGAUUCCAGCUCCGAGAAUUACAAGCUGAUUGUCAGGGUUCAGAUGCACUGUAUCCCACAGUGUGGAUGUAUCAGAAUUUUUCAACUAUUCUCCUAUGCAUUUGUAUCUAGGUUGUUUCCAGUAUAUUAUGAUUAAAAAUAACACUUUAAUGAGUAAAUAAUGUGUAUGUAUAUUUUUGUACAAUUAAAUGAAUAUCUUCAGGG